CCUACGGGGUGCAGCAGUGGGGGAUAUUGCACAAUGGGGGAAACCCUGAUGCAGCGACGCCGCGUGUGGGAAGACGGUCUUCUGGAUUGUAAACCACUGUCCCCAGGGACGAAAAUGACGGUACCUGGGGAGGAAGCUCCGGCUAACUACGUGCCAGCAGCCGCGGUAAUACGUAGGGAGCAAGCGUUGUCCGGAAUUACUGGGUGAAAAGGGAGCGUAGGCGGGGAUGCAAGUUGGGUGUCAAAACUACCGGCUCAACCGAUAGUCGCACUCAAAACUGCAACUCUUGAGUGAAGUAGAGGCAGGCGGAAUUCCUAGUGUAGCGGUGAAAUGCGUAGAUAUUAGGAGGAACACCAGUGGCGAAGGCGGCCUGCUGGGCUUUUACUGACGCUGAGGCUCGAAAGUGUGGGGAGCAAACAGGAUUAGAUACCCUGGUAGUC
RNAcentral lists this ribosomal RNA (440 nucleotides) under uncultured bacterium. RNAcentral describes it as "partial 16S ribosomal RNA". It matches the Rfam family "Bacterial small subunit ribosomal RNA", at positions 338 to 795 of the family's 1533-position model. The record is from RNAcentral.